RNAcentral lists this ribosomal RNA (712 nucleotides) under uncultured bacterium. RNAcentral describes it as "bacterial SSU rRNA". It matches the Rfam family "Bacterial small subunit ribosomal RNA", at positions 8 to 729 of the family's 1533-position model. The record is from RNAcentral.
AGAGUUUGAUCCUGGCUCAGGAUGAACGCUGGCGGCGUGCUUAACACAUGCAAGUCACGGGGGCCCANCAAUGGGCAACCGGCGAACGGGUGCGUAACACGUGAGCAAUCUACCGAAAUGAGGGGGAUAGCCGGCCCAACGGCCGGGUAAUACCGCAUACGCUCGAGACCAGGCAUUUGGACUCGAGGAAACCUCCGGGGCAUUUCGAGGAGCUCGCGGCCUAUCAGCUAGUUGGUGAGGUAACGGCUCACCAAGGCGACGACGGGUAGCUGGUCUGAGAGGAUGGCCAGCCACAUUGGGACUGAGAUACGGCCCAGACUCCUACGGGAGGCAGCAGUGGGGAAUCUUGCGCAAUGGCCUAACGGCUGACGCAGCGACGCCGCGUGAGGGAUGACGCUCUUCGGAGUGUAAACCUCUUUUGCCUGAGACGAAUUGCCAGCUUUAGCUGGUUUGACUGUAUCGGGUGAAUAAGCACCGGCUAACUCCGUGCCAGCAGCCGCGGUAAUACGGGGGGUGCGAGCGUUGUCCGGAAUCACUGGGCGUAAAGGGCGCGUAGGUGGUCUGAUAAGGGUGUGGUGAAAGCCCGGGGCUCAACCCCGGGUCGGCCGUGCCGACUGUUAGACUAGAGUACUGUAGGGGCAGGCGGAAUUCCGGGUGUAGCGGUGGAAUGCGUAGAGAUCCGGAAGGAAGACCGGUGGCGAAGGCGGCCUGC